Molecule: ribosomal RNA, 495 nt
Filed under: uncultured bacterium
Lineage: Bacteria
Description: partial 16S ribosomal RNA
Rfam family: Bacterial small subunit ribosomal RNA
Source: RNAcentral
GACGAACGCUGGCGGCGUGCCUAAUACAUGCAAGUAGAACGCUGAAGGAGGAGCUUGCUUCUCUGGAUGAGUUGCGAACGGGUGAGUAACGCGUAGGUAACCUGCCUGGUAGCGGGGGAUAACUAUUGGAAACGAUAGCUAAUACCGCAUAAGAGUAGAUGUUGCAUGACAUUUGCUUAAAAGGUGCAAUUGCAUCACUACCAGAUGGACCUGCGUUGUAUUAGCUAGUUGGUGGGGUAACGGCUCACCAAGGCGACGAUACAUAGCCGACCUGAGAGGGUGGUCGGCCACACUGGGACUGAGACACGGCACAGACUCCUACGGGAGGCAGCAGGAGGGAAUCUUCGGCAAUGGACGGAAGUCUGACCGAGCAACGCCGCGUGAGUGAAGAAGGUUUUCGGAUCGUAAAGCUCUGUUGUAAGAGAAGAACGAGUGUGAGAGUGGAAAGUUCACACUGUGACGGUAUCUUACCAGAAAGGGACGGCUAACUACGUG